AUGUGGAAGCAUAGUAAUGUGUGGAGCUGACUGGUACUAAUAAGCCGAUGACUUGACUUU
Molecule: ribosomal RNA, 60 nt
Filed under: Leucobacter zeae
Lineage: Bacteria; Bacillati; Actinomycetota; Actinomycetes; Micrococcales; Microbacteriaceae
Description: partial 23S ribosomal RNA
Source: RNAcentral